RNAcentral lists this ribosomal RNA (500 nucleotides) under uncultured bacterium. RNAcentral's name for it is "partial 16S ribosomal RNA". It matches the Rfam family "Bacterial small subunit ribosomal RNA", at positions 30 to 523 of the family's 1533-position model. The record is from RNAcentral.
AUUGAACGCUGGCGGAAUGCUUUACACAUGCAAGUCGAACGGCAGCACGGACUUCGGUCUGGUGGCGAGUGGCGAACGGGUGAGUAACAUAUCGGAACGUAUCCAAUAAUGGGGGAUAACGAGUCGGAAGAUUCGCUAAUACCGCAUACGCCCUACGGGGGAAAGCUGGGGACCUUCGGGCCUGGCGUUAAUGGAGCGGCCGAUAUCUGAUUAGCUAGUUGGUGAGGUAAAGGCCCACCAAGCCAACGAUCUGUAGCUGGUCUGAGAGGACGACCAGCCACACUGGAACUGAGACACGGUCCAGACUCCUAUGGGAGGCAGCAGUGGGGAAUUUUGGACAAUGGGCGAAAGCCUGAUCCAGCCAUUCCGCGUGCAGGAUGAAGGCCCUCGGGUUGUAAACUGCUUUUGUACAGAACGAAAAGGUUUCUACUAAUACUAGGAGCUCAUGACGGUACUGUAAGAAUAAGCACCGGCUAACUACGUGCCAGCCGCCGCCGUAA